Molecule: ribosomal RNA, 253 nt
Filed under: uncultured bacterium
Lineage: Bacteria
Description: partial 16S ribosomal RNA
Rfam family: Bacterial small subunit ribosomal RNA
Source: RNAcentral
UACGUAGGGUCCGAGCGUUGUCCGGAAUUAUUGGGCGUAAAGGGCGCGUAGGCGGCCUGUUAAGUCGAACGUGAAAUCCCCGGGCUCAACCCGGGAACUGCGUCCGAUACUGGCAGGCUUGAAUUCGGGAGAGGGAUGUGGAAUUCCAGGUGUAGCGGUGAAAUGCGUAGAUAUCUGGAGGAACACCGGUGGCGAAGGCGGCAUCCUGGACCGAUAUUGACGCUGAUGCGCGAAAGCCAGGGGAGCAAACGGG